AGUGAACGCUGGCGGUAGGCCUAACACAUGCAAGUCGAACGGCAGCACAGUAAGAGCUUGCUCUUACGGGUGGCGAGUGGCGGACGGGUGAGGAAUACAUCGGAAUCUACUUUUUCGUGGGGGAUAACGUAGGGAAACUUACGCUAAUACCGCAUACGACCUACGGGUGAAAGCAGGGGAUCUUCGGACCUUGCGCGAUUGAAUGAGCCGAUGUCGGAUUAGCUAGUUGGCGGGGUAAAGGCCCACCAAGGCGACGAUCCGUAGCUGGUCUGAGAGGAUGAUAAGCCACACUGGAACUGAGACACGGUCCAGACUACUACGGGAGGCAGAAGUGGGGAAUAUUGGACAAUGGGCGCAAGCCUGAUCCAGCCGUACCGCGUGGGUGAAGAAGGCCUUCGGGUUGUAAAGCCCUUUUGUUGGGAAAGAAAAGCAGCAGGUUAAUACCCCGCUGUUCUGACGGUACCCAAAGAAUAAGCACCGGCUAACUUCGUG
This 492-nucleotide ribosomal RNA is filed under the name uncultured bacterium. RNAcentral's name for it is "partial 16S ribosomal RNA". It matches the Rfam family "Bacterial small subunit ribosomal RNA", at positions 29 to 507 of the family's 1533-position model. The record is from RNAcentral.